Molecule: non-coding RNA, 370 nt
Organism: Hydra vulgaris (swiftwater hydra)
Lineage: Eukaryota; Metazoa; Cnidaria; Hydrozoa; Anthoathecata; Hydridae
Source: RefSeq, a predicted model, not a curated record
CAAAAGCAUUUAAUACAGUUGACACAAGAUGAUCCGGUACAAGGUGCUCCCAGAAGUUCUUACGGUCUUAUCAUAGAGCACCGUGGGAUUUAACGGGAAGUUCACGGCUCCUUUCGUACCAAUGUCGCUUGUUGGGUUGGAGAUGGCGUCAAACCUCGAAAUCUCUGGGUUCUGAGCCAGAACUCUAACCACUGCGCCACGGCUGCUAAAUAACAACAAACAUUCGCAAAGUCUAUUUGUUUCAAUGUAAAUGGUUUUGUUUGUAUCAAAUGUUAAUCUAUUUUAUUAAAAACAGUGGUUUAAGUUGAAAUUUGUGUCAAUUUAGAAAAAAUGGGUUUAACUUUUUGAAAAAUCUUUUUUUAAAUGUAAA